Molecule: non-coding RNA, 73 nt
Organism: Picea glauca (white spruce)
Lineage: Eukaryota; Viridiplantae; Streptophyta; Pinopsida; Pinales; Pinaceae
Source: Rfam
GCUUGCUUAGCUUAGAGGUUAGAGCAUCGCACUUGUAAUGUGAUGGUCAUUGGUUUGAUCUCGAUAGCUGGCU